RNAcentral lists this ribosomal RNA (468 nucleotides) under uncultured bacterium. Its description in RNAcentral is "partial 16S ribosomal RNA". It matches the Rfam family "Bacterial small subunit ribosomal RNA", at positions 28 to 507 of the family's 1533-position model. The record is from RNAcentral.
GACGAACGCUGGCGGCGUGCUUAACACGUGCAAGUCGAACGGAAAGGCCCUGCUUUUGUGGGGUGCUCGAGUGGCGAACGGGUGAGUAACACGUGAGUAACCUGCCCUUGACUUUGGGAUAACUUCAGGAAACUGGGGCUAAUACCGGAUAGGAGCUCCUGCUGCAUGGUGGGGGUUGGAAAGUUUCGGCGGUUGGGGAUGGACUCGCGGCUUAUCAGCUUGUUGGUGGGGUAGUGGCUUACCAAGGCUUUGACGGGUAGCCGGCCUGAGAGGGUGACCGGCCACAUUGGGACUGAGAUACGGCCCAGACUCCUACGGGAGGCAGCAGUGGGGAAUAUUGCACAAUGGGCGGAAGCCUGAUGCAGCAACGCCGCGUGCGGGAUGACGGCCUUCGGGUUGUAAACCGCUUUCGCCUGUGACGAAGCGUGAGUGACGAUAAUGGGUAAAGAAGCACCGGCUAACUACGUG